RNAcentral lists this long non-coding RNA (378 nucleotides) under Cricetulus griseus (Chinese hamster). RNAcentral describes it as "lncRNA (ENSCGRG00015041070.1)". The record is from RNAcentral. Lineage: Eukaryota; Metazoa; Chordata; Mammalia; Rodentia; Cricetidae.
UGACGUUCCAAGUUAGCUGUCUCUCUUUCUGCCUCUGGCUUGUGGGUCGGAUGUAAGCUGUCAGCCUGGCUGCCUGCUACUGUGCUCAGCCAUGGUGGUUAUGGACUUACCCUCUGAAACUGUGGAGAUGUGUCUGGCAUGCAUUCUGGUCAUGCCAUGCUACCAGGCUGACCUUCCAAAUCCACAAGGAUCUGACUAUGAAGCUCUGGCUGUCCUACAACUCACAAUGUAGACCAGGCUGGCUGUGAACUCGACAGAGAUCCAUCUGAGGGCAUGUGCUACCACACCUGGCCUCCUUAAAGCAGUUUUUUUUUUUUUGACAAUUUCAUACGUUCAUCCUUCAUUAUGCUUUCUCAUCCUCUUUUCUCUAGACUGAAG